This 287-nucleotide small RNA is filed under the name Priestia megaterium. RNAcentral's name for it is "5_ureB_sRNA". It matches the Rfam family "5' ureB small RNA". RNAcentral also lists the same sequence under 1 other name. Lineage: Bacteria; Bacillati; Bacillota; Bacilli; Caryophanales; Bacillaceae. The record is from RNAcentral.
CAGUUUCAAUUUGCUGCGGACAAAUGAAAUGAAUAUGUGCAUCAAUACCGCCGGCGGUUACAAUUUUCCCUUCUGCUGCAAUCACUUCUGUACUCGCACCAAUGAUGAUGUCUACUUCAUCCAUCAGCAGGGGAUUGCCCGCUUUUCCGAUGGUUUGAAUGAGUCCAUCUUUUAUUCCAAUAUCUGCUUUAUAUAUGCCUGUAUAAUCAACAAUAAUUGCAUUUGUCAACACUAAGUCCGCUGCUUCGCUUCGUGUUGCAAGAGGAUGCUGCCCCAUUCCGUCACGA